RNAcentral lists this long non-coding RNA (1126 nucleotides) under Homo sapiens (human). RNAcentral's name for it is "non-protein coding lnc-PON1-1:4". The record is from RNAcentral. Lineage: Eukaryota; Metazoa; Chordata; Mammalia; Primates; Hominidae.
AGUCCUGCCAACAGCUGUGAGUGAGCAUGGACGCAGAUCCUCUCCCAGUGGAGCAUUUGGAUGACCACGGCUCUGGCUAACACCUCACUUACAGCCUUGGGAGAGAUUCUGAGUCAGAGGCAUCCAGCUAAAUUGACCCACAGACACGUUCAAAUUCUGGAUGAGAAUUCGCUUCUGCAAAUUAGAAGCAAUUCAUCUAAGAUAAUGAACACAGAAGCGAAGCAGAAGCCAUUUUCCUACAUCCUUUCGACUGUUUUAACUGCAAACAAAGAUAAAGAAAUGCAAGGUGUUAGCAGUGCUUUUUGUGGCACUUUCCAAUUUUCUGGGUGUCAAGAGGCAAUUGUGACUACAGCAUUAGCAGUGUAACUCUGGCUUCCUGAUUACUGGAUUGCAGCAAGAGGAGUAUAUUCAUAACACACAGUUGCAGCAACCAUAUUAGCUAUAACUGGCUCUUGGGUGGAUCAUUUCUGUACUCCCUAAAGUCAUUCCAGCAAGAACAGCCUAGAACUCAUAUCUUAGAUCUUCCAACUAUUUUAUAAGCAUCAAAUUCUCUUGUAUUAAAUAUCUUCCUGUUUUAAAUAAAUGUAAUUUUUGUUUCCUGGACUAAAUCCUGACUCACACGCUAUUUGAUGUAUCUGUGUGUCUGUGGAACUAAUACUAAAGUUUCAUGAAAAUCCCCUUUUUAUGUGUGAUACAUUAAUUUUUCUAUUUUACUUGUCCUAUUUACAAUUCUCUUAAGUCUAUAGUCACUCUUAAAUUUCCAUGCUAUUCUAUGUCUAUUCAUUAAAUAAAAUGCUAAUUGCAAUGUUUAAAAUCUACUUCAUGACCCACCAACAGGUUGCAAGCUUCAGUUAAAAGACACUGCUUACAGCAUGAUCUUAUUAAGAGAGCCGAAGUAUACUGCAGAAUAUCACAACUGCAUUACUUAUUUUUCUUUUAUUCCAUCCUGGUCUUCAUGAUAGACAAUCGAAGCUUUUCCAGCUAUCAUCUUAUUGGCCUCUACCUAAAUAGGAGACAGCAUUCAGGCAAGUCUCCACAUAGCUAAAAAAUGUUUUCAACAAAUAAGCAAAAAUGGAGAACAGAAAAUAAGAAGAAGAAAAUCGUACGACUGACAUUAAGGUUUGGG